This 339-nucleotide unclassified non-coding RNA is filed under the name soil metagenome. RNAcentral's name for it is "partial contains 5.8S ribosomal RNA, internal transcribed spacer 2, and large subunit ribosomal RNA". The stretch from base 1 to 120 matches the Rfam family "5.8S ribosomal RNA", at positions 35 to 154 of the family's 154-position model. The record is from RNAcentral.
GAUGAAGAACGUAGCGAAAUGCGAUACGUAGUGUGAAUUGCAGAAUUCAGUGAAUCAUCGAAUCUAUGAACGCACAUUGCACCUCUCGGUAUUCCGGGAGGUAUGCCUGUUCGAGCGUCAUUUGUACCCUCAAGCUCUGCUUGGUGUUGGGUGUUUGUUCCGCCUCUGUGUGUGAACUCGCCUCAAAACAAUUGGCAGCCGGCGUACUUGUUUCGGAGCGCAGCACAUUUUGCGAUCCAGAUCGACGUACAGCGGCAUCCAAGAAGCCUUAUUUAACGCUCUUGACCUCGGAUCAGGUAGGGAUACCCGCUGAACUUAAGCAUAUCAAUAAGCGGAGGA